Molecule: ribosomal RNA, 1169 nt
Filed under: Staphylococcus haemolyticus
Lineage: Bacteria; Bacillati; Bacillota; Bacilli; Caryophanales; Staphylococcaceae
Description: bacterial SSU rRNA
Rfam family: Bacterial small subunit ribosomal RNA
Source: RNAcentral
GCGUGCUAUACAUGCAGUCGAGCGAACAGACAAGGAGCUUGCUCCUUUGACGUUAGCGGCGGACGGGUGAGUAACACGUGGGUAACCUACCUAUAAGACUGGGAUAACUUCGGGAAACCGGAGCUAAUACCGGAUAAUAUUUCGAACCGCAUGGUUCGAUAGUGAAAGAUGGUUUUGCUAUCACUUAUAGAUGGACCCGCGCCGUAUUAGCUAGUUGGUAAGGUAACGGCUUACCAAGGCGACGAUACGUAGCCGACCUGAGAGGGUGAUCGGCCACACUGGAACUGAGACACGGUCCAGACUCCUACGGGAGGCAGCAGUAGGGAAUCUUCCGCAAUGGGCGAAAGCCUGACGGAGCAACGCCGCGUGAGUGAUGAAGGUCUUCGGAUCGUAAAACUCUGUUAUUAGGGAAGAACAUACGUGUAAGUAACUAUGCACGUCUUGACGGUACCUAAUCAGAAAGCCACGGCUAACUACGUGCCAGCAGCCGCGGUAAUACGUAGGUGGCAAGCGUUAUCCGGAAUUAUUGGGCGUAAAGCGCGCGUAGGCGGUUUUUUAAGUCUGAUGUGAAAGCCCACGGCUCAACCGUGGAGGGUCAUUGGAAACUGGAAAACUUGAGUGCAGAAGAGGAAAGUGGAAUUCCAUGUGUAGCGGUGAAAUGCGCAGAGAUAUGGAGGAACACCAGUGGCGAAGGCGACUUUCUGGUCUGUAACUGACGCUGAUGUGCGAAAGCGUGGGGAUCAAACAGGAUUAGAUACCCUGGUAGUCCACGCCGUAAACGAUGAGUGCUAAGUGUUAGGGGGUUUCCGCCCCUUAGUGCUGCAGCUAACGCAUUAAGCACUCCGCCUGGGGAGUACGACCGCAAGGUUGAAACUCAAAGGAAUUGACGGGGACCCGCACAAGCGGUGGAGCAUGUGGUUUAAUUGGAAGCAACGCGAAGAACCUUACCAAAUCUUGACAUCCUUUGACAACUCUAGAGAUAGAGCCUUCCCCUUCGGGGGACAAAGUGACAGGUGGUGCAUGGUUGUCGUCAGCUCGUGUCGUGAGAUGUUGGGUUAAGUCCCGCAACGAGCGCAACCCUUAAGCUUAGUUGCCAUCAUUAAGUUGGGCACUCUAAGUUGACUGCCGGUGACAAACCGGAGGAAGGUGGGGAUGACGUCAAAUCAUCA